This 498-nucleotide ribosomal RNA is filed under the name uncultured bacterium. RNAcentral describes it as "partial 16S ribosomal RNA". It matches the Rfam family "Bacterial small subunit ribosomal RNA", at positions 30 to 523 of the family's 1533-position model. The record is from RNAcentral.
AUUGAACGCUGGCGGCAUGCCUUACACAUGCAAGUCAAACGGUAACGGGUCUUCGGAUGCUGACGAGUGGCGAACGGGUGAGUAAUACAUCGGAACGUGCCUAGUAGUGGGGGAUAACUACUCGAAAGAGUGGCUAAUACCGCAUGAGAUCUACGGAAGAAAGCAGGGGAUCGCAAGACCUUGUGCUACUAGAGCGGCCGAUGGCAGAUUAGGUAGUUGGUGGGAUAAAAGCUUACCAAGCCGACGAUCUGUAGCUGGUCUGAGAGGACGAUCAGCCACACUGGGACUGAGAAACGGCCCAGACUCCUACGGGAGGCAGCAGUGGGGAAUUUUGGACAAUGGGCGCAAGCCUGAUCCAGCAAUGCCGCGUGCAGGAUGAAGGCCUUCGGGUUGUAAACUGCUUUUGUACGGAGCGAAAAGGCUCUCUCUAAUACAGGGGGCUCAUGACGGUACCGUAAGAAUAAGCACCGGCUAACUACGUGCCAGCAGCCGCCGUAA